This 116-nucleotide ribosomal RNA is filed under the name Clostridia bacterium. Lineage: Bacteria; Bacillati; Bacillota; Clostridia. The record is from RNAcentral.
CUUGGUGACGAUAGAGAAAAGGUCCACCUGUUCCCAUUCCGAACACAGAAGUUAAGCUUUUCAUCGCCGACAAUACUUGGUUGGAAACGGCCCGGUAAGAUAGGACAUUGCCAAGA